GAUGAACGCUAGCGACAGGCCUAAACACAUGCAAGUCGAGGGGCAUCGGGGUGUAGCAAUACGAUGGUGGCGACCGGCGCACGGGUGAGUAACACGUAUGCAACCUACCUCUAACAGGGGGAUAACCCGUUGAAAGACGGACUAAUACCCCAUAAUACAGGGGCUCCGCAUGGAGAUAUUUGUUAAAGAUUUUAUCGGUUAGAGAUGGGCAUGCGUUCCAUUAGCUAGUUGGUGAGGUAACGGCUCACCAAGGCGACGAUGGAUAGGGGAACUGAGAGGUUUAUCCCCCACACUGGAACUGAGACACGGUCCAGACUCCUACGGGAGGCAGCAGUGAGGAAUAUUGGUCAAUGGGCGAGAGCCUGAACCAGCCAAGUCGCGUGAAGGAAGAAGGUUCUAUGGAUUGUAAACUUCUUUUGCAGGGGAAUAAAGGCGGUACGUGUACUGUUUUGUAUGUACCUUGCGAAUAGGGAUCGGCUAACUCCGUGCCAGCAGCCGCGGUAAUAUCACG
Molecule: ribosomal RNA, 511 nt
Filed under: uncultured bacterium
Lineage: Bacteria
Description: bacterial SSU rRNA
Rfam family: Bacterial small subunit ribosomal RNA
Source: RNAcentral